CGUUUCAAAAAAAAAAAUCGUUGGUACUGUUUUUGUCAAAAUGUUGCCACGGCUCUACUUUAUACCCGGUACUCAGUCAGUAUAUGUAUAUGUGAGCUUAUGAUUUAUGCAACUUGAUCAUGAUUAACUUGUAACUGUCAUCAUGAGCCAGCCACGCUUUGCAACGCUUUUUUCGCUUUCAGAGUUUGGUUUCUGUUGUUUUUCAUCACUUUUCCAUGUCCUGCGCUGCUCUGGUGAUUUUCUCACUUUAAAGUAGUUGGCGGUCGCGAACUUUUUUUUAACUGGGCGCCCUACGGUGGACUCAGCUGUUUGAGUGUUGCCGGAUUGGAUUGAUACUGCAUCCACGAUCGCAUGCAUCCCGCCAGCAGCUGGUACAUUAUUUAUUUACCUGUUCUUUUUACGACGUACGACCUAUGUGCUUCGCAUGUGCAUGCAUUACCGACAUCGUCUUCCCUCAUGCACGAUGCUUUACCUCAUCGGCUUUGGGAUUUUCUGACGAUCCCAGGAAGCUGUCGCACGCCUAGAUCAGACCACAAAUAAUGAAGAAAUCAAAAUAUGUUUGCAUCAUGAAAUUUGCCAAAAAUCGGACUCAUUUUCAUAGGCUGUUCGACAGUAUGGAUCCUCUCGAUCCUGACAGAGUUGGUCCUUCAACAAUCGUCCCAUAAAUAGUCGAGAUAUAGCCUUUUGAAGAUUUCGAUUUUGCAUUUCAUUAGAGUACUGGUUUUUUCUGAACGCCAUUUCUUUGCUAUGCUGCAGCCGAUCUGAGUGCGGCAUGUCUUUUCGUGAUCGGGAGGGUCCUGCCAAUCGACUGCCAUCGGAAAAAGGGACAUCCCUUUUUUCACGAUUUUCGCAAAAACGAAACGAAGAUUUCGUCGUUUUUUAUGAGGGCGCUGGACUCGGACCGAUCCAGCAAAGGUUCUGCCUUACCAAAUAAGGUGCCCGAGGACUAUGAGAAAAUGUUCGAGACGAUCGUGAAGGUCACCAAGGAAAUGGUUGACUUUCGUAAGUAGUAUACGUGAUGCUGUAUCCCACUCUGGCCAUUGCUUACCUGCAAAUGGUGUGGAGCGGAAAGUAGCAGAGGGCUAUAUCCUUCGUGGGUGGGAACAAACACGAGCUGGACGAUUCGUACAAGAGGCGCAUCGAAAAGCUGAAGCUGAUCCGCAAGCCACUGGACGUGCCACAAAGAGCCCUGGAACAGCUAUCUGGUGCGGACAAAGUGAAGUUCUGCAUGUUCAGAAGCACCUUCAACCUAUUCAAGGUACCCCAAUCGCAGCUUUGGUCGAAUGGGCACCUGAAUCGGCUUUUGGUCCACUUCGAAAUCCUAACUUACACUGACGACAGGAUGCCCCAGGAGCGGAUUCUCUGCUGUCUAAAAAUAAAAUUGUUUUGUUUACAGAAAAAAACGAGGAAAUACGAAUAUUCCAGUCUAUAAAACUCGA
Drosophila pseudoobscura is the source of this 1439-nucleotide long non-coding RNA. RefSeq lists it as uncharacterized. The record is from RefSeq and is a predicted model, not a curated record. Lineage: Eukaryota; Metazoa; Arthropoda; Insecta; Diptera; Drosophilidae. The transcript has 2 exons.